Molecule: ribosomal RNA, 253 nt
Filed under: uncultured bacterium
Lineage: Bacteria
Description: partial 16S ribosomal RNA
Rfam family: Bacterial small subunit ribosomal RNA
Source: RNAcentral
UACGGGGGGGGCAAGCGUUGUUCGGAAUUACUGGGCGUAAAGGGCUCGUAGGCGGCCAACUAAGUCGGACGUGAAAUCCCUCGGCUUAACCGGGGAACUGCGUCUGAUACUGGAUGGCUUGAGUUUGGGAGAGGGAUGCGGAAUUCCAGGUGUAGCGGUGAAAUGCGUAGAUAUCAGAAGGAACAUCAGUGGCGAAAGCGGCUUCCUGGACCAGAACUGACGAUCAGGCACGAAAGCGUGGGGAGCAAACAGG